AUACAGUGUGUUGUGUACAUAUGUAAUAGUUUGGAGGCAUGGAGUAAGUGAAUUUAUAGCCCUCCCUCAGAGAAGGAACACAGGAACUCAAGGCUACGAGCAGCUGAUGACAGACAGGAAGAUCGAGGAAGCCCCCUUAUGCCUUCCACCACGGGUCCUCGCCGGUCCUGAAGUCGGUCUCCACCCACGGGACGAAGAGGACCUUGCCGUCGUCGACGUCGGCGUGCACCAGGGCCAGCGACUGUUGUUGUUCCGAUCAGAUGAGCAAUUCAACCAAGAUCAGAUUCAGUCAAUUGAUGAAGGCAGAUCAUAUCAUUCAGCUAGAAUCAAGGAAGCAAAAUGAAUGAAAUGCAUUGCUCACCAGGGGCGCCGGGCCACGGACGACCCUGCCCUGGUUGUUGUACUGCGAGCCGUGGCAGGGGCAGAUGAACUUGUUCUCGGCGCUGUUCCACGGCACGACGCACCCCAGGUGGGUGCAGACGGCGUUGAUGCCGUAGGUGGCCAGCGUCUUGUCCUGCUCCACCACCAGGUACGUCGGGUCGCCCUUGAGCCCCUGCGCCAGCGUCCGGUCGUUGGGGCCGUGGGUCUUGAGCCACUCGUCCACCUUGAUGUCGUUGCCCAGCUUGUCCUUGGCGUACGUCCCGCCGCCGGCGCCGCCGGACCUGCAAAUUAUUACCCGUUGAGCUGCUGGCCGGCCGGUGACAGACAGGACUAGGCAGCUUACCCGGCGGGGAUGAAGAAGGCGCCGUAGGGGACGACCAUGCCGACGGUGGGCAGCGAGAUGGCGCCCAGGAGGAGGAGGUUCAUCAGCUUCCGCUUCUCCAUGUCGGGGACGCGGUCGGCGGGGAUGCUGCUCGCCGCCUGGCACGUGAUGCUCCGCCGGCCCAUCCCGAGGCCGAGGCCCUUCACCGGCUUGCCCAGCGAAGAAGCAGCGCGGGGCCGGCAGAGCUGCCAUUGCAGGCGCGCACAUCGCAUGCAAACG
RNAcentral lists this long non-coding RNA (982 nucleotides) under Setaria viridis. RNAcentral's name for it is "long non-coding RNA (SVIR_LNC000030)". Lineage: Eukaryota; Viridiplantae; Streptophyta; Magnoliopsida; Poales; Poaceae. The record is from RNAcentral.